This 824-nucleotide ribosomal RNA is filed under the name Salmonella enterica subsp. enterica serovar Typhimurium. RNAcentral's name for it is "partial 23S ribosomal RNA". It matches the Rfam family "Bacterial large subunit ribosomal RNA", at positions 466 to 1190 of the family's 2925-position model. Lineage: Bacteria; Pseudomonadati; Pseudomonadota; Gammaproteobacteria; Enterobacterales; Enterobacteriaceae. The record is from RNAcentral.
CUAAAUACUCCUGACUGACCGAUAGUGAACCAGUACCGUGAGGGAAAGGCGAAAAGAACCCCGGCGAGGGGAGUGAAAAAGAACCUGAAACCGUGUACGUACAAGCAGUGGGAGCCCCACCACUAAGCCAGUGGUGAACUCCACAUCCGCAUCCUUUGCUGAGGAUACGGUUAACGGAGCGAAAGCGACGUUCAACCGCAAAACAAGCAGAGGGGGCUUAGUGGUGGGGUGACUGCGUACCUUUUGUAUAAUGGGUCAGCGACUUAUAUUCUGUAGCAAGGUUAACCGAAUAGGGGAGCCGGAGGGAAACCGAGUCUUAAUUGGGCGUUAAGUUGCAGGGUAUAGACCCGAAACCCGGUGAUCUAGCCAUGGGCAGGUUGAAGGUUGGGUAACACUAACUGGAGGACCGAACCGACUAAUGUUGAAAAAUUAGCGGAUGACCUGUGGCUGGGGGUGAAAGGCCAAUCAAACCGGGAGAUAGCUGGUUCUCCCCGAAAGCUAUUUAGGUAGCGCCUCGUGAAUUCAUCUCCGGGGGUAGAGCACUGUUUCGGCUAGGGGGCCAUCCCGGCUUACCAACCCGAUGCAAACUGCGAAUACCGGAGAAUGUUAUCACGGGAGACACACGGCGGGUGCUAACGUCCGUCGUGAAGAGGGAAACAACCCAGACCGCCAGCUAAGGUCCCAAAGUCAUGGUUAAGUGGGAAACGAUGUGGGAAGGCCCAGACAGCCAGGAUGUUGGCUUAGAAGCAGCCAUCAUUUAAAGAAAGCGUAAUAGCUCACUGGUCGAGUCGGCCUGCGCGGAAGAUGUAACGGGGCUAAACCAU